This 253-nucleotide ribosomal RNA is filed under the name uncultured bacterium. Its description in RNAcentral is "partial 16S ribosomal RNA". It matches the Rfam family "Bacterial small subunit ribosomal RNA", at positions 524 to 776 of the family's 1533-position model. The record is from RNAcentral.
UACGUAGGUGGCAAGCGUUAUCCGGAUUUAUUGGGCGUAAAGGGAACGCAGGCGGUCUUUUAAGUCUGAUGUGAAAGCCUUCGGCUUAACCGGAGUAGUGCAUUGGAAACUGGGAGACUUGAGUGCAGAAGAGGAGAGUGGAACUCCAUGUGUAGCGGUGAAAUGCGUCGAUAUAUGGAAGAACACCAGUGGCGAAAGCGGCUCUCUGGUCUGUAACUGACGCUGAGGUUCGAAAGCGUGGGUAGCAAACAGG